This 112-nucleotide ribosomal RNA is filed under the name Erinaceus europaeus (western European hedgehog). The record is from RNAcentral. Lineage: Eukaryota; Metazoa; Chordata; Mammalia; Eulipotyphla; Erinaceidae.
GUCUACAGCCAUACCAUCUGGAACACGCCCAAAUCUCAUCUGAUCUUGGAAAGCUCAGCUGGUGUGGGCCUAGUUAGUACUUGGAUGGGAGAAGGACAGGACAGUGAUAACU